UGUAAUUUGUACUUUGAUUGCUGUAAUUUCAUUCAAAUCGUCAUAUCUCCUUCUGUCCUGCAUACUAUGCUUAACCCUUGAGGUAUGUGGUAGUCAGAGACUGUUUCUAUAAGUGUACGCUACCAGCUGCGUGCAUGCAUCGAGAAAAUCGGGCACUCAGUCCGUAACCAGACCAGUUCAACUUUCUAUCAUGCCUCUGUGACGCAUUGGAAGACCAUCUAAAGGUGAAAUAAUGGGGCAAAAAACGUCAUGUCCGCAAAAUUGACUCCCGAAGAUAGAGGAAGGAGAGUGGAAGAUGACUAAUGAAUUGACCAUGCAUAAUCUCAUAAAAUUCGU
RNAcentral lists this small RNA (336 nucleotides) under Cryptococcus neoformans H99. RNAcentral's name for it is "Cryptococcus neoformans var. grubii H99 hypothetical RNA". Lineage: Eukaryota; Fungi; Basidiomycota; Tremellomycetes; Tremellales; Cryptococcaceae. The record is from RNAcentral.